This 172-nucleotide ribosomal RNA is filed under the name Parabotia curtus (kissing loach). RNAcentral's name for it is "partial 12S rRNA". Lineage: Eukaryota; Metazoa; Chordata; Actinopteri; Cypriniformes; Botiidae. The record is from RNAcentral.
CACCGCGGUUAUACGAGAGGCCCCAGUUGAUAGACACGGCGUAAAGGGUGGUUAAGGAAAGCAAAAAUAAAGCCGAAGGGCCCCUUGGCCGUCAUACGCUUCCGAGUGUCCGAAGCCCAAACACGAAAGUAGCUUUAAUUCUAGCCCACCUGACCCCACGAAAACUGAGAAA